UUGAACGCUGGCGGCAUGCUUUACACAUGCAAGUCGAACGGCAGCGCGGGCUUCGGCCUGGCGGCGAGUGGCGAACGGGUGAGUAAUGCAUCGGAACGUGCCCAGUAGUGGGGGAUAGCCCGGCGAAAGCCGGAUUAAUACCGCAUACGACCUGAGGGUGAAAGCGGGGGACCGAAAGGCCUCGCGCUAUUGGAGCGGCCGAUGUCGGAUUAGCUAGUUUGUGGGGUAAAGGCUUACCAAGGCGACGAUCCGUAGCUGGUCUGAGAGGACGACCAGCCACACUGGGACUGAGACACGGCCCAGACUCCUACGGGAGGCAGCAGUGGGGAAUUUUGGACAAUGGGGGCAACCCUGAUCCAGCCAUGCCGCGUGCGGGAAGAAGGCCUUCGGGUUGUAAACCGCUUUUGUUCGGGAAGAAAUCCUCUGGGCUAAUACCCCGGGGGGAUGACGGUACCGGAAGAAUAAGCACCGGCUAACUACGUG
This 483-nucleotide ribosomal RNA is filed under the name uncultured bacterium. Its description in RNAcentral is "partial 16S ribosomal RNA". It matches the Rfam family "Bacterial small subunit ribosomal RNA", at positions 29 to 507 of the family's 1533-position model. The record is from RNAcentral.